CCUAGGCUUUAUUUUCUUAUUAUUUAAAAAAAUAGUUGUGAACAUUUUGAAUAUACUAUUUCUAUGUAGAGGACUAUAUUACAUUUUAAUGUAAUAUAUUGUAAUACUUGUCAAAUUUAAAGAACUAGAAGGCUUAAAAUAGGCUACAUAUCUAAAAUAAUCAGAAAAGGGGAGACACACAAAAACACAGAAACUAUCAAAUGAACUCCAAAUCACACUGUUUUUGACCCUAAAGAAAAGCUCAAGUGGUAAUGCUUUCUUGAGAGUUGCAAACCUAGAGCAGUGACUGUCUUAGACAAAGGAUAUGAGUCAGGGAUGGAUAGGGAGCAGUGGUACAUGUUGCAUUCCAGGUAACCACUGCUUCAGAAAGAGACGUAGCAGUACUCUUCAGCCAAGCUGGUUGUCUUUGGUCAAAAGCAGAGAAACAAGGUGUGCCCCUUUUCUUUGGAGAGCAGAAUGAAGAAGAUACUUUUUAAAGUUUCUUUCUAUCUCCUACCUCUAUCGGUCAGUAUGAUCAUCAGGGAGUUGAUGUUUCUGCAAUUUUGUGUCAUAUCAGUUUCCCUUUAUAGCUGCUGGGAAGUUACACCCUGGUCCUUGCAUGUGGUGCAUCAUCAGAUUCUGCAAAUCAUUGGAGUAUCCAGACUUGGAGCGAUGACCCUACAUAAAGGAAGCAGGUAGACCCGAAAUUAAAGGUCACCUAAUGGGAAAAGAGUCAGAAUAAAUUAAGACAAGGUAAUUUAAGGCAGUGCUUAUAUGACUCUAAUACAUACACAAAAGUCAAA
RNAcentral lists this long non-coding RNA (782 nucleotides) under Homo sapiens (human). Its description in RNAcentral is "HSALNT0085617". The record is from RNAcentral. Lineage: Eukaryota; Metazoa; Chordata; Mammalia; Primates; Hominidae.